CUGGGUGGCGGCCGGAGCCCUGAGGCUGCGCGGAGCCGGGGUCGCUCUGGCGCUGCCGGUGCCCGACCGCGCGGGGGCCGAGCAUGAGGCUCGCCCAGCGGCCGGGGCAGGACAGCGAGCCCGCCCUGCGUGGCAGAGGGUAAUUGUCCUCUGAAUUCCCAUGUCAUACCAGCAGGAGGACUACAAAGAAUCUAUCAAAAUGAUGACAAAUAUUGUCAUUUUGAGCCUGCUUAUUUGUAUUUCCUUAUCUUUCUGGAUUGUGUCCAUGACAGCAAGUACAUACUAUGGUAUGCCCAAGUGGAGGCGCAUAGCAACAAGGCUCCCUUCCUGUCAUCUCCUAAAGCACUUGCUUUGCACUCUGGUACAGAGAAGAAGGGAUACUUCUGUUUUAUGAAUCUUUUUGCAUACCAUAAGACAUGCAUCAUUUGUUGGGAUUCCCUCUGAGACCUUUUCCAAUUGGCUUAUUCAUAAGCUCCUUCGUUUUCAGUUUAAACCAAAUUUUACCGA
Long non-coding RNA from Terrapene triunguis (Three-toed box turtle), 507 nucleotides. RefSeq lists it as uncharacterized. The transcript is spliced from 3 exons. NCBI's taxonomy places the organism in Eukaryota, Metazoa, Chordata, Testudines, Emydidae. The record is from RefSeq and is a predicted model, not a curated record.